This 452-nucleotide ribosomal RNA is filed under the name uncultured organism. Its description in RNAcentral is "partial 16S ribosomal RNA". It matches the Rfam family "Bacterial small subunit ribosomal RNA", at positions 332 to 800 of the family's 1533-position model. The record is from RNAcentral.
UACACUCCUGCGGGAGGCAGCAGUGGGGAAUAUUGGACAAUGGGCGCAAGCCUGAUCCAGCCAUGCCGCGUGAGUGAUGAAGGCCCUAGGGUUGUAAAGCUCUUUCACCGGUGAAGAUAAUGACGGUAACCGGAGAAGAAGCCCCGGCUAACUUCGUGCCAGCAGCCGCGGUAAUACGAAGGGGGCUAGCGUUGUUCGGAUUUACUGGGCGUAAAGCGCACGUAGGCGGACUAUUAAGUCAGGGGUGAAAUCCCGGGGCUCAACCCCGGAACUGCCUUUGAUACUGGUAGUCUUGAGUUCGAGAGAGGUGAGUGGAAUUCCGAGUGUGGAGGUGAAAUUCGUAGAUAUUCGGAGGAACACCAGUGGCGAAGGCGGCUCACUGGCUCGAUACUGACGCUGAGGUGCGAAAGCGUGGGGAGCAAACAGGAUUAGAUACCCGUGUAGUCCCAUGA